Molecule: long non-coding RNA, 3576 nt
Organism: Girardinichthys multiradiatus
Lineage: Eukaryota; Metazoa; Chordata; Actinopteri; Cyprinodontiformes; Goodeidae
Exons: 2
Source: RefSeq, a predicted model, not a curated record
GAAUGCUCAUCGCAGUCUAAUCCAAGGUUCCUUCGAGAACGUUUGGUGGUCUCAAGAACCUUCACUUCCAGGAACGGCUGCUGGAAUCAGGGGGAGGGAGAGUGCGACAGAAAGAGGCAUACAGCACUCUGUGAACCGCCAGCUUCUUUACAGAUGACCUUUGGUGGCAUACCGUCCUGGUGGAGGUUGUCAGUGACUCUCUGCUGGACAUCAGUCUAGUAUGAUUGUCUUCUAUAUGAUCAUGUAAACCAUGAUAUUACAUUUCUGCAUUAAAAAUGUAUUUUUUAUUGAUCUUAUGUAAUACCUACAAUUUCAGAGUAUUGAAUUUUUGGGUUUUUAUUCAGGUUAUUAAAGACCAAAUGGCCUUUAUUCUCUACUAAGUCAAACUGUCUGAUAAUUAUUUUGUGGAUUGGGUUAAAUUGUAUAUAAAACAAGAGUUACACAUUUUAACUAUUUUUUCAUGUCUUUACAACUGAGUGUUUACAGUGUUUGUAAUAGACUACUGUUAUAACAUUGGUAAAAGGUUUGAGUUGUUUUACAAAACCUAGCUAUAGAGCUAUAAUAGUAGUUAUCUUAGUUUAGUUUAUGUCGGCUUCAAGGUUUUCAUUGCCAGUGUGACACUAGCCUUUCUCAAAGUGAUAAAUGUACUUUUAUUUUUUUAACGAAGUUUAGUGGGAGAUGUUUAACUUUCUGUUUAAUUUUGUUGACAAAAUAAACCACAAGUAUUUGACACAACCUAAAAAUACCUUAAAUAAAUGAAAUGUAUAGUUGUAAAUAAUAGCACUUUUUUAAAAUCAAAUUAAUUAUCCAAUGUGUAGGGGAAAGUAAUGGUAACAUAAACAAGGAUGACUCCAAACCAACACCACCUUCAUCUCCUUGCAUAAUGUAGAUCAAUGACGUCUUCUCUUCAGCCAGUUGGUGUUAAUGAUGUUAUCGAUACUUGUAGUUUUGCUUUUCUUGACAUAAAUUUCACUUCAUCAGCCAAUUUCACACUGUUAAUUCACUAACACUGACUUUCAUUUCUGCCCGUCUGUCUUUUAUUUGUUUUGUUAUGCAUUUUCUGUUUUCAAACCAUAUUUCUUUGAGUUUUCUGUCUUGAAGCUGUUUUCUUUGAUCUACCUGGGUGCAACAGCCCCUUGAGGUCUGCAAGCACCCUUUUAACUGCACACUCGGUUGCAUAAUCUGUUUAACAUAAUAUGUUUUCCCUAACUCGAUAGGAAAAAAGGAAAAUACAUUUUUUUUUAAAAUAUCUUUAACAAAGCUGGAAUAUUAGGCUGUUAAUUAUAAAAUGGUUUUCUUUAAUAUCUGUGAUUGUUUUUUGUUUACUUUUCCUACAUGAUUGCUGGAUAGAAUCUCUUUUAGAAAAUCUUUUGUUAAAUGCAUUGCCAAAAUUAUUUUGGAUAUAAGUCCCAAUUGUGGGGCACUGUAUAUGCUGUUGCUUUAUAUUAGCUUCUCUGUAAUUUUGCUGUUCUUCCACACAGAACUGCAUCAACCUGACUAGAGAGUCAAAGUGGUUUUAAAUUUAAAACAAGAGACACUGAACAAUCAGUCUGCAGUUUGGACAUGCUUUUGUGCACAAGGUUAAAUAAUUAAUUGAAUGCAACAAGUUUACUCAGCACAAGCCUAAAGUGAGAUUCAUGUUUUAUUUUCGACUGACAGACCUAUGUGAUGUAAAUCUUGCUGGUUUAUUUACUGGUACAGAUCACACCCUGUUCAAACUGCACAGACUCUGUGCUUUGACAUGACACAUACAAUGUUGCAAAAACGUUAAUUUAGCUUUUUUUGUCACUCUUAAGUGUUUCAGAUAUUCCAAAAAAAUUUGAUUUCACACAAAAAUAAACUGAUAAAAAUGUUUUCUGAGUUUUCAAAUUAGGAUUUUACUUAUUAAAGAAAAUAAGCUGUCCAAACCAACUUGGCCCUAUAUGAAAAUAUAGUCAGGAAUUGUUAAUAAUUGUGAUUAAAAAUGUUUUUGGUUCAGUUUCACUAACCACAACAGGCCUGAUUAUUGUCAGACCUAAAGAAAAAUAAUUUUUUAAGGUUUCGAGACUCCAGCAAACCACAGUGAGACUCCUUAUCCUCAAACAUAAAAAGCAUGGAAGAGUGGUAAACCUUCCUAGCAGUGCUUUUCUACCAAAAUUACUCCAAAAGUUCAUCUAGAAGAACCCAGAACAUCUAAAGCCUUACAGGCCUCACUUGCCUCAGUUAAGUUCAGUGUUCAUCAUUAAAUAACAAGAAACAGAGAGAGGGAAAAAAUGGCCUCCAUGGGAGGCAAAACCAUUGCAACCAUAAAGAACACAAGGCCCAUCUCACAUUUACCAAAAAAAUAUCAACAAGACAAAAGUGGAACAUCUGGAAGGUGUAUGUCCUGUUACAUCUGGAGUAACAGAAGCAAUGACACACUAACAGCCAAACAUGGUAGUGAUGGUGUGGUGGUCUGGGGGUGCAUGACUGAAUUGGGACCUGGAUGACUUGCUGUAGUUGAUGAAGUCAUGAACUCUGUUCUCUCAUAGAAGAUCCUGAAGGAGAAUGUCCGACCAUCCGUUUGUGGUCUUAUCAAGUAGGACAAUGAUCCAAAGCACACCAACAACUCUACCUCUGAAUAACUAAAAAAAAAAAGGUUUCGGAGUGGCUUAAUCAAAGUCUAGAAUAAAUCUGAACAAGAUGAUAUGGCAUAACUUUGAUGCUCGAAAACCCUCCUGUGUGGUUGAAUUAAAACAAUUCUGCAAAGAAAUGUGGACCAAAUUUCCUCCAAAGUCAUGUUAAAGAUUUAUUUCCAGUCAUCACAAACACUUGAUGUCAAUUGUUGCCUCCAAGGGUGGGGGAACCAUCAUUUUGGUUGAGGGGUCCAUUACUUUUUCACAUAUGAUCAGAUUGGUUUGGAAAACUUUUUUCCCUUAAAUUUGUUGGAUGAUUUGAAACAUUUAAGUCUGACUAAAAAGCAAAAACAGAAAAAAUCCUAAGGAGGCAAAUACUGGACAACAAAACUCAAAAUUUGCCAUCAAGAAGCAACAGAGCAACAAAUAAAUUCCAAGAGCCACUGAAAUCAGAAGGAAAACAAGGAUGCUUGUUUUGAGGAGAUAAGGUAUAAGGUAACUGUUCCCAAAAAUCCACAUCAAUAAGAAGGACACACACACUUUUUGAAAUAGCCAAUAAUGAAAACCAUCACAGUAUUACCACCUACUGGACCUGGUAGAGACACUUCACACCCAUGAGAUGAACAGUGUGGACCAACAGUCUAAGUUCAGUCACACGCCAACGCUGAAUGUGGUCAGAAAAUCAGAAACAACAAAGAUUCCACCUUCUUCAUCAAAGUGCACUGCUGGGAAACUCUUAUGAGGAAAGAAGGUUUUCCAGUAGAAACUAAUGAAAUUAGGUGAGUCAGAACUGACAAUGGAUUCCUGUUUCUGUCAUGGGGGAUGUCUUUGUCUUAAAGUUUCAAAGAAAAUAUCUCUGUAAUUGUGUUGGUUUAUUGAUGGAGGGAAUAAAAAAUGCCAUCUAUCUGUAUGUAUUUAAGUGGAUAUGUAUAUUUUUGCAGAUUUUAUAACAACUUUUACAAAUAAAAUGUCUGGGAAGUGA